AUUGAACGCUGGCGGCAGGCCUAACACAUGCAAGUCGAGCGGAUGAAGGGAGCUUGCUCCUGGAUUCAGCGGCGGACGGGCGAGUAAUGCCUAGGAAUCUGCCUGGUAGUGGGGGAUAACGUCCGGAAACGGGCGCUAAUACCGCAUACGUCCUGAGGGUGAAAGUGGGGGAUCUUCGGACCUCACGCUAUUUGCUGAGCCUAGGUCGGAUUAGCUAGUUGGUGGGGUAAAGGCCUACCAAGGCGACGAUCCGUAACUGGUCUGAGAGGAUGAUCAGUCACACUGGAACUGAGACACGGUCCAGACUCCUACGGGAGGCAGCAGUGGGGAAUAUUGGACAAUGGGCGAAAGCCUGAUCCAGCCAUGCCGCGUGUGUGAAGAAGGUCUUCGGAUUGUAAAGCACUUUAAGUUGGGAGGAAGGACAGUAAAUUAAUACCUUGCUGUUUUGACGUUACCAACAGAAUAAGCACCGGCUAACUUCGUG
Molecule: ribosomal RNA, 484 nt
Filed under: uncultured bacterium
Lineage: Bacteria
Description: partial 16S ribosomal RNA
Rfam family: Bacterial small subunit ribosomal RNA
Source: RNAcentral